This 253-nucleotide ribosomal RNA is filed under the name uncultured bacterium. RNAcentral's name for it is "partial 16S ribosomal RNA". It matches the Rfam family "Bacterial small subunit ribosomal RNA", at positions 524 to 776 of the family's 1533-position model. The record is from RNAcentral.
UACAGAGACUGCAAGCGUUAUUCGGAUUCACUGGGCGUAAAGGGUGCGCAGGCGGCCGUAUGUGUGAGGCGUGAAAGCCCGGGGCUUAACCCCGGAAUUGCACCUCAAACUAUACGGCUAGAGCAUUGGAGAGGGUAGCAGAAUUCAUGGUGUAGCAGUGAAAUGCGUAGAUAUCAGGAGGAACACCGGUGGCGAAGGCGACUUCCUGGCCUGUUCUUGACGCUGAGGCGCGAAAGCUAGGGUAGCAAACGGG